Molecule: long non-coding RNA, 1402 nt
Organism: Lycium barbarum (goji berry)
Lineage: Eukaryota; Viridiplantae; Streptophyta; Magnoliopsida; Solanales; Solanaceae
Exons: 4
Source: RefSeq, a predicted model, not a curated record
CCAAAAACUUACUAAUUGAAAGCAAUUUUAAUAAUUUUAUCUUCCCUCCAAUUCUUUUCCCCAAUAAUUAACAUUCCCCCCAAACUAUAAAAAAAAUAUAAAAUAAUAAAACUUUCCCUCAGAGUACCUAAAAACCUUGAAGCCGCUACCAGAUCUUGACGCUGCUGCCACCGGAAGGAUUUCAACCAGGCAAGCAUUAUGGAACCCAUCUCUUCUCUUAAGAGUACCUAAAAACAAAGGAUUGAAAACCAACUAAAGUACGACAACAUAAAAAAGUCGAAAUCGAACUAGAAACUGAGACCCCUCCCAUUGAAAACCCUAAAUUAUGACCAUCAAUCUAUCAAAAGAACACCACGAACUGAAGAAUUAGGAAUAAACCCACAUUUUUUUGACAAAAGAACGAGAAAAAAGAAGGAACUGAAAACCCACAUCUUCUUGUCGUUGUUUGUUCUUGUGGAUCUAUGGUGUGAUUGCGCAUAUCACUUGUCUAUUUGUUGUUUCAAGACUGUUAGGGGCACCAUUCAUCUCGUUCAGUUUAUUGUCAUUCUCGUCAAAGUAAUUUGAUUACCAGGACAUGAUCAAUGAAAAGUUGAGUAAUAGUGAGGUAUCGAACGAGCAACCUCGUCACUCUGUUGCUUGGGAAGGAGAUGUAUAUUCACAAGUGUUGGGAAAUGAAAAACUGGUUAUGUUCGUAGCUUAGGACUUGGUCCAACUCCUUCUGUACUAUGGGGUAGUAGAUCUUCUUUUGGAAAUAUUAUUGAAGAGGAUUCGUCUAAUGAGGUUGUAAAAAGGUUAGAACAAGAGGUAACAAAGUUAAAGGACAUAAAUGGAAAACAAAAUGAAGAACUGAGUUUGGUGAAACAAAAUCAAGAGAAGUUGCUAUCUGAAUUAGCAUGGGUGAGAAAAGCCUUGAGCAGAAAUGGUCCUAAUGGGUUACCUAUACAUCAUAAUAUCAAUGGAAUUUUAGAUGACCAGAUAAGUCAAUUUUAAACGGUGGGAGUCAUUUAUUGAAAUUUAAAUUUUACAUAAAUAAUUUAUCUAACGUGUUAAUGUUUUUUAGGUUAUCGAUGCCAACAGUGGCCAUGAGCGACUACAACAAUCACCACAGAUGCUGUUUAGAGGAGAUAAUGUGGCUGAAAAUUUUCCAUCUUCUCACGGUCAUACAGUAUGAUGUUUGAAUAGCACGUGGAAGAUUCAAUAUUAUGCAGCGUUGCGAAACUGUUGGAGGGUGCAUUUUAGAAAUUUGUUACUGCAAGUAUUGGAUAGGAAUAGUUACAAGGACAUUAACUAUUUAGUUUAGACACAUAAUAUUAUUUUUUAAUUCGCUGAUUACAUUAGUAUUAUGAAUUAGUACUUGCUUUGAUUUAUCUUGAGUUAGUGAAAUAUAUUAUAUUUUUAUAAA